RNAcentral lists this unclassified non-coding RNA (249 nucleotides) under Hevea brasiliensis (rubber tree). Lineage: Eukaryota; Viridiplantae; Streptophyta; Magnoliopsida; Malpighiales; Euphorbiaceae. The record is from RNAcentral.
AAACCAAACUAGUUUUGAGGAGUACCUAAGCAAUAACUCCAAUGUAAAUCCAGGGAUUGACUUGACAGUUACUGUUUUGACAACUGGCUUCUGGCCAAGUUACAAGUCAUUUGAUUUGAACCUUCCAGCAGAGAUGGUAUGUUUGUUUGUUUCUGUUUUAGUCAGAAUGUUAGCAUGUUGGUUGGGCUACUAAUGUAUUUUCUUCUCUAUUGCUGCUUUAGGUUAAAUGUGUUGAAGUUUUUAGUGAAU